UAUUCUGCCCUACGGGGAAGGAUGAGAAGCUUCGACUAAGGUUCGACUCGAGCGUCAGCGAGAGAACGUUGCCGCAGGCAACGGCCCGAAGGGCAAGGCGCUUUAGCGCCGAGUAAUCCUUCCCCCGCUACUG
RNAcentral lists this small RNA (133 nucleotides) under Klebsiella aerogenes. RNAcentral describes it as "RtT sRNA". It matches the Rfam family "RtT RNA". From Rfam's summary of the family: This family represents a bacterial cis-regulatory element known as RtT RNA. The exact function of RtT is unknown although it is thought that it may be involved in changing the cellular response in relation to amino acid starvation. Lineage: Bacteria; Pseudomonadati; Pseudomonadota; Gammaproteobacteria; Enterobacterales; Enterobacteriaceae. The record is from RNAcentral.